GCCGAUGUAGCUCAACGGCAGAGCAAUCCCUUCGUAAGGGAAAGGUUGUCGGUUCAAGUCCGACCAUCGGCUCCA
The sequence is a transfer RNA, 75 nucleotides long. It matches the Rfam family "tRNA". From Rfam's summary of the family: Transfer RNA (tRNA) molecules are approximately 80 nucleotides in length. Their secondary structure includes four short double-helical elements and three loops (D, anti-codon, and T loops). Further hydrogen bonds mediate the characteristic L-shaped molecular structure. tRNAs have two regions of fundamental functional importance: the anti-codon, which is responsible for specific mRNA codon recognition, and the 3' end, to which the tRNAs corresponding amino acid is attached (by aminoacyl-tRNA synthetases). tRNAs cope with the degeneracy of the genetic code in two manners: having more than one tRNA (with a specific anti-codon) for a particular amino acid; and 'wobble' base-pairing, i.e. permitting non-standard base-pairing at the 3rd anti-codon position.